AUUGAACGCUAGCGGGAUGCCUUACACAUGCAAGUCGAACGGCGUGGCAACCGGGUGAGUAAUGUAUCGGAAUGUGCCCCGUAGCGGGGGAUAACUACGCGAAAUCGUAGCUAAUACCGCUUACUAUUGGUGCGGCCGAUAUCGGAUUAGCUAGUUGGUGGGGUAACGGCUCACCAAGGCGACGAUCCGUAGCUGGUUUGAGUGGACGACCAGCCACACUGGGACUGAGACACGGCCCAGACUCCUACGGGAGGCAGCAGUGGGGAAUUUUGGACAAUGGGGGAAAGCCUGAUCCAGCCAUCCCGCGUGUGCGAUGAAGGCCUUCGGGUUGUAAAGCACUUUUGGCAGGAAAGCGGUACCUGCAGAAUAAGCACCGGCUAACUACGUGCCAGCAGCCGCGGUAAUAC
Molecule: ribosomal RNA, 407 nt
Filed under: uncultured bacterium
Lineage: Bacteria
Description: partial 16S ribosomal RNA
Rfam family: Bacterial small subunit ribosomal RNA
Source: RNAcentral